AUUGAACGCUGGCGGCAGGCCUAACACAUGCAAGUCGAGCGGAUGAAGGGAGCUUGCUCCUGGAUUCAGCGGCGGACGGGUGAGUAAUGCCUAGGAAUCUGCCUUGUAGUGGCGGAUAACGUCCGGAAACGGGCGCUAAUACCGCAUACGUCCUGAGGGGGAAAGUGGGUGAUCUUCGGACCUCACGCUAUCAGAUGAGCCUAGGUCGGAUUAGCUAGUUGGUGGGGUAACGGCCUUCCAAGGCUACGAUCCGUAACUGGUCUGAGAGGAUGACCAGUCACACUGGAAGUGAGAAACGGUACCGACUCCUACGGGAGGCAGCAGUGGGGACUAUUGCACAAUGGAGGAGAGGCUGAUACAGGAAUGCCGCGUGUGUGAUGAAGGUGUUCGGAUUGUAAAGCGAUGUAGGUUGGGGGGAAGGGCAGUAAGUUAAUACCUGACUAUUAUGACGGUACCGACAGAAUAAGCACCGGCUAACUUCGUG
This 484-nucleotide ribosomal RNA is filed under the name uncultured bacterium. RNAcentral describes it as "partial 16S ribosomal RNA". It matches the Rfam family "Bacterial small subunit ribosomal RNA", at positions 30 to 507 of the family's 1533-position model. The record is from RNAcentral.